Molecule: non-coding RNA, 237 nt
Filed under: Knoellia aerolata DSM 18566
Lineage: Bacteria; Bacillati; Actinomycetota; Actinomycetes; Micrococcales; Intrasporangiaceae
Description: Bacterial small subunit ribosomal RNA
Rfam family: Bacterial small subunit ribosomal RNA
Source: Rfam by way of RNAcentral
UCCUUUGUUGCCAGCGGUUCGGCCGGGAACUCAAAGGAGACUGCCAGUGAUAAACUGGAGGAAGGUGGGGAUGACGUCAAGUCAUCAUGGCCCUUACGAGUAGGGCUACACACGUGCUACAAUGGCGUAUACAAAGAGAAGCGACCUCGCGAGAGCAAGCGGACCUCAUAAAGUACGUCGUAGUCCGGAUUGGAGUCUGCAACUCGACUCCAUGAAGUCGGAAUCGCUAGUAAUCGU